This 373-nucleotide ribosomal RNA is filed under the name uncultured bacterium. Its description in RNAcentral is "bacterial SSU rRNA". It matches the Rfam family "Bacterial small subunit ribosomal RNA", at positions 521 to 896 of the family's 1533-position model. The record is from RNAcentral.
UAAUACGGAGGGUGCAAGCGUUAUCCGGAUUUACUGGGUUUAAAGGGAGCGCAGGCGGAUUGGUAAGUCAGUGGUGAAAUACCCGUGCUUAACAUGGGAACUGCCAUUGAUACUAUCAGUCUUGAAUAUCGUUGAGGUUUGCGGAAUGGGUCAUGUAGCGGUGAAAUGCAUAGAUAUGACCCGGAACACCUAUUGCGAAGGCAGCAGGCUAAACGAAGAUUGACGCUGAGGCUCGAAAGCGUGGGGAUCAAACAGGAUUAGAUACCCUGGUAGUCCACGCCCUAAACGAUGAUUACUCGACAUUUGUGAUACACAAUAAGUGUCUGAGCGAAAGCAUUAAGUAAUCCACCUGGGAAGUACGACCGCAAGGUUG